Molecule: non-coding RNA, 2456 nt
Organism: Microcebus murinus (gray mouse lemur)
Lineage: Eukaryota; Metazoa; Chordata; Mammalia; Primates; Cheirogaleidae
Source: RefSeq, a predicted model, not a curated record
GGGAGAAAACGCAUCCUUAGCAAGGCGGGGGCCAGGGGCAAUCGAGGCAUUCACUCUGCCAGGGAGAACUGACCCAGAGAGCCGCUGGAGGGCCCAGUCCCCGCCCUGGUCUUCCUCGGUGCUCUGGACGGCGGCCAGCACCGCUCAGCUUUGAAGGGAAAGACGGGAAAGUGCCAUCUACAAGGCCCAGCCACACUCACGGCAUCCUGCGCGUCAUGCACAUUGUCUGUUUAAUCUUCACAACGAGCUAAUAGGAAAAGGGUGACCAGAAGGUUUAUCAAUCUCUCCAACAUCACGCAGCCUGUGAGGGGCACAGUCCAGUUUCACACCGGGUCCCAUGACCUGAAGAGCCGUGAUCUCUCCUGAUCGGCCGGGCUGCCCCUUCCCAGUGCUCCCACUGGUGCUCCCACAGCCCCAGGGAAAGCUCUGUUGGCCCAGACAUAGCCCGGGACCCACUCUCUGCCGGGGUCCCUUGUUCCAGGAAGUGGGUGGCCAGGAGCUGUGCCCCUGGGAGCAGUUGCCAUUUGUUUGCUGCCUACAACUGCUGGGCCUGGCUAAGCAUUUUGUGUUCCCACAGCCGCUGAGGCAAGAGCCUACGACAGCCCUCACGGCUGCUUGGACAGGAUUUCCAAUUACCCAUCUCAAGCCCUUCCAGCUUUCCAGCGUCUGUCCACAAAAGAGGAGAGUGACCUCGCGAUCUCUGAUUGCCACAGCUGGCUGGGGACACUGCCGUCUCACAAAUGUCAGGACGGUGGCCACAGGACUGCGUGACUCCAUGUGCCCCAUGCUGACAAGGCCCUCAGGCACCAUCGCCAGGAGGCCGCUUAAAACAUUUACUGCUUCAUCACUCCAGCGGUUCUCUCAUAUAUCCUUUUUGAAAAUUUUAAGUGGACCUCAUAAAGCCUGAUAGUUGGGCUUUUGAUAGUGGCAGUUAAGUGGUGAAUGCACAGAACUCGGAGUGAGAACUGGGCUGGUGACAGAUGACCUAAUAUAUAACCCCUCCCCUCCCCUCCACCCAGAAAUACAAACCUGUCCCCUUCUCGUCCUGCCCACCCCUCAGGUGAGACUGAUGGGGGUGACUAAGGUAUUGAUGGGAGCAGGCUGUGGAUGGUUGCUACCUAAUGGUCCCCCACGAACCCCACCUCCCAGAAUUCCCAUCCCAUGUGGCCUCCUAACACGCUGAAUCUGGGCUGGGCCCCUGACACAACAGGAAGCAGCAGGAAGGACUCUGUGCAAACCCCAGGCUGGUCUGUAAGAGGUCUGGAAGCUUCUGCUUUGCUGCCUUGCUGUCCUAAGUAAGGAAGCCCGAGCCAGCCUCCUUGAGGGCCCCAGUCAUUUAGGCCACCCCACCAGGGCCCCAGAUGAGCCACCAGCUGAUUACAAAUGCCUGGGAGAGCCCAGCUGACACCAUGUAGAGCAGAGACAAGCUGCCCAGCAAUCCCAGCCUUUAUCGUCGGAUUCCAAGCCAACGCAUGGUUGCUGUUUCACACCACUAACUUCUGGAACGGUUUGUUAUACACAAAGGCUAACGAGUGUCUGUUGUUCUGGUCUGGUGCUGGGGUUAAAAUAAGAUUGUGAAGCCCUGAUGCAUAGGCAGUGAAGUUGGAUGAAGAGGAGCUAGCUCAGAUGAUGGCAGCAAGAGACAGAAGGCUUUGCUUCUUGUAGGAGCUACUUGCUCCUUUGUACAUCUGAGCUCUGUCAACACCAAACUACAGUAAAGGUUUCUGGUAGACCAGCUACUGAAAAAUUCUGUUCUCAGUCAGCUUCAUCCUCAACAUGUGCUAUUGAUUAGAAGAAGGAAUUCUUUUAGCCCCAGUGAAACUGCUAUCCAAAAGUAAGAAGGAAGAAAAAAGUCUUGAAAUACUCUAGAUGAUACUGGUGUAGUCUUUGCAAAAUAUCUUUACUUAAUUAGGUUUUCAUGUUUUCCUUCAACCUUUGUUAAUUGGCAAAGCAAGAAAGAACUAUUGAAAAAAAGUACUUCUGCAUUUUCUGGAACAAUGUUUUCUAAGAUAUUGCCUGUUGUAUAUUAUAUAUUAUUAUAAUAAUAUGUAUGUUGCCCGUUAAAUAUUGUAUACACACACACAUAUAUAUACACACAUAAAUAAUACCCCUCAGGACUUAGCUAAAGUUCUUUAGCUUGGAGUUAAAGAACUUGUGUUUUUUCUUAUACCUAAACACAAGUACAUAACCCAUCAUAUUUGCCUUUUUGCUAAGGCUGCCAGGAAGCUUGGAUUCAAAUAAAAUGACUAAUUCAAAGGAUUCUGUCAACAUUUAUGCUUCCCUACCAUUGCUAAGGCUUUGGUUUUCAAGUUCUAGUUUAAUAGCUACAUUAUCUUUUUUCCCUCCUGGGUAAACUACCUUUAAUUAUUUUUUUGUGUGAAAUAUUUAUAAAUAACAUUGAACAAAGUAUCUUGGUAGGCCAGGACAGGAGUAUAAUUGUGGGAGAAAGGGGGAAG